UUAUUCAAGUGAAAUAUACGUUCUCUCGUUGAAUUAAGCUUCUCAUUUUUAUUUUCAGCAAAAUUUUUUUCUCUACAAUGAAAAAGUCUUCAAAAAUGUUCUUGUUUUUCUACGUAAAAGUCAUUUAAGGGAGUUUAGUUUCGAACGAUGUGGCUAACAUAUCAGACGUUAGGAUAGAAAUAAAAGACUGUAUAGUUAAAGUGAGUCGUAGCUGUUAUGCGUGUUUAAAAAUAUCAAAGAUAAAUAAACACAAAAAAUAAAAAAUUGACAUCGUGAUGGAAUGGACAAAAAAAAACAUUUUAUGUGGAAUUAGAUCAAUGUGACAUCAAUUAAAUAAUUGGAUAUAAAAUUACAACAAGUUUUUUUUCCUCAAAGGAUGGAAAAUAAUUAACCCAUCAUCCAAAGGGAACAUGAACAAAAUUUGAGAAAAUUGGGAAGGAAAAUGGAAUCAUUAUAAAAUGAUGUAACGGAGUUCUUUGUGAUAUUCCAUCAUGAACUUUAUCUAAAAGUUAUGUUCCUGAAUAUAAUCACUGUACUCCCUUUGUUUAAAAUCCACAAAUAAUUUUUGUAAUAAUAAAUUUAGUAAAAAAA
Episyrphus balteatus (marmalade hoverfly) is the source of this 591-nucleotide long non-coding RNA. RefSeq lists it as uncharacterized. NCBI's taxonomy places the organism in Eukaryota, Metazoa, Arthropoda, Insecta, Diptera, Syrphidae. The transcript has 3 exons. The record is from RefSeq and is a predicted model, not a curated record.